This 619-nucleotide unclassified non-coding RNA is filed under the name Bombus terrestris (buff-tailed bumblebee). RNAcentral describes it as "misc RNA ENSBTSG00005023817.1". The record is from RNAcentral. Lineage: Eukaryota; Metazoa; Arthropoda; Insecta; Hymenoptera; Apidae.
UGAAAGAGUGAACAGGUAUCAGUGAAUACGGCAGUAGUAUUUUUGCGGUAACGUGGUGUAUUAAGAAGAAACAACGUCGAUAUACAAUAAUAAAGAUCUCUAUAAAAUCUGUCGAUGUAUCUGUGGAACAACUCUUAGAUGACUAUUUAAAGCUCGAUGUGAUUGACGAUGUUCGAUUAACAAUCUUCACGGUGCCUCGGUGUGACGUGUUCUUUCGCAGAAAUCAGCGAAACUGGCGCCGCUCGAAGCGUGGUACAGCUAACAACGAGUGCGAUGCAUUCUUGCAGUCUCGAAUUGGGAUGACAAGCUGGCAGCAUCUAGUAACUCGUGUUCAGCUGCCAAGCUGUACGUGAAUUCAUGUCAUCGCACCUUGGACUGGGUGUCUGAGUAGAGUGACUUCGCUAGACGAGAUUUUUCGAGUGGAUCCUCGAGAAAGCGUGACGUCACACGGUUGAUUCUUCGCCGGAAGAGGCCAAAAUCGAAUCUAUUUUUACGAGGAAAAAUCGUGUUCCGCGUCUCGAAAUAAAAUCGAGCCACGCGACGCUAUAUCUCUUCGCGUUGACAUGUAUACGUAAAAUACAUAAAUAUCGCACCGUGAUCCACACAAAUUCAUUCAACC